Molecule: ribosomal RNA, 451 nt
Filed under: uncultured bacterium
Lineage: Bacteria
Description: bacterial SSU rRNA
Rfam family: Bacterial small subunit ribosomal RNA
Source: RNAcentral
AACGAACGCUGGCGGCAGGCUUAACACAUGCAAGUCGAACGGAUCCUUCGGGAUCAGUGGCGGACGGGUGAGUAACGCGUGGGAACCUACCCUGGGGUGGGGAAUAACCUUGGGAAACCGAGGCUAAUACCGCAUACGCCCUAUUGGGGAAAGACUAUGUUGCCCUGGGAUGGGCCCGCGUCCGAUUAGCUAGUUGGUGGGGUAAUGGCCUACCAAGGCUGCGAUCGGUAGCUGGUCUGAGAGGAUGAUCAGCCACACUGGGACUGAGACACGGCCCAGACUCCUACGGGAGGCAGCAGUGGGGAAUAUUGGACAAUGGGGGCAACCCUGAUCCAGCCAUGCCGCGUGAGUGAAGAAGGCCUUAGGGUUGUAAAGCUCUUUCACCCGUGACGAUGAUGACGGUAGCGGGAGAAGAAGCCCCGGCUAAUUCCGUGCCAGCAGCCGCGGUAAU